GUUAGGAAUAUUGGACAAUGGGCGAAAGCCUGAUCCAGCCAUGCCGCGUGAACGAUGAAGGCCUUCGGGUUGUAAAGUUCUUUAGCCGAUGAUUAUAAUGACUGUAGUCGGAAAAUAAGCCCCGGCUAACUUCGUGCCAGCAGCCGCGGUAAUACGAAGGGGGCGAGCGUUAUUCGGAAUCACUGGGCGUAAAGCGUGCGUAGGCGGUUUUGUAAGUUAGGAGUGAAAGCCCAGGGCUCAACCUUGGAAUUGCUCUUAAAACUGCAAGGCUCGAAUCACGGAGAGGAGAGCGGAAUGUCCAGUGUAGCAGUGAAAAGCGUAGAUAUUGGAAGGAACACCAGUGGCGUAAGCGGCUAUCUGGACGAGUAUUGACGCUGAGGCACGAAAGCGUGGGGAUCAAACAGGAUUAGAAACCCUUGUAGUCC
RNAcentral lists this ribosomal RNA (425 nucleotides) under uncultured bacterium. RNAcentral's name for it is "partial 16S ribosomal RNA". It matches the Rfam family "Bacterial small subunit ribosomal RNA", at positions 354 to 796 of the family's 1533-position model. The record is from RNAcentral.